This 462-nucleotide ribosomal RNA is filed under the name uncultured bacterium. Its description in RNAcentral is "partial 16S ribosomal RNA". It matches the Rfam family "Bacterial small subunit ribosomal RNA", at positions 28 to 507 of the family's 1533-position model. The record is from RNAcentral.
GAUAAACGCUGGCGGCGUGCUUAACACAUGCAAGUCGAACGAAGUUUUUCUUUCGGGAGGAACUUAGUGGCGGACGGGUGAGUAACGCGUGGGUAACCUGCCCUGUACAGGGGGACAACAGCUGGAAACGGCUGCUAAUACCGCAUAAGCCCUUAGCACUGCAUGGUGCAUAGGGAAAAGGAGCAAUCCGGUACAGGAUGGACCCGCGUCUGAUUAGCCAGUUGGCAGGGUAACGGCCUACCAAAGCGACGAUCAGUAGCCGAUCUGAGAGGAUGUACGGCCACAUUGGGACUGAGACACGGCCCAGACCCCUACGGGAGGCAGCAGUGGGGAAUAUUGCACAAUGGAGGAAACUCUGAUGCAGCGACGCCGCGUGAGUGAAGAUGUAUUUCGGUAUGUAAAGCUCUAUCAGCAGGAAAGAAAAUGACGGUACCUGACGAAGAAGCACCGGCUAAAUACGUG